Molecule: long non-coding RNA, 2844 nt
Filed under: Daucus carota (carrot)
Lineage: Eukaryota; Viridiplantae; Streptophyta; Magnoliopsida; Apiales; Apiaceae
Description: long non-coding RNA (DCAR_LNC005585)
Source: RNAcentral
UUGGUUCGACGGACUUCAAACCUAUAUGAGGUACAUUUGUCAUAAAAGCUGGUUGGGCGGGUGGUUCAUGCCUCAGAAGAAGAGCUACUUUGCUAUGCAGCUACCGCAGAGAUGGUGGAUAUUUGGUCUUGAUUUAGCUCUGCACGGUGAUAUUGAUGUUUAUCAGUUCAAGUUCUUCUCUGAAUUGGUUAUGGACAAGGUUCCUCUCCUAAUGUUUUUGUUUAACAAAUGUUAUAUACUAUUCUUGUUUUUAAACAUUUUCCUUACAUGAUGCAAUACCUUUUUUAUUUCAUAUGCAUUAUGUUUAGUUUAAUAUUAUCGAGUUCGUGAAUUAAGUAUCUCUAUCUGGGUGCAAAUUAAGCAUCAGAAAAGAAAGUGUCAUCUUUGGUGUGUUUACUUUCCCUUUACGCAAUGAGCUUUUCUUCCAGGUUGGAGAGAAUGAUUCCGUGAUAAUUGUGACACAUGAACCUGGUUGGCUUCUUGAUUGGUACUGGGAUGAUGUGAGCGGGAAAAAUGUUUCACACCUGAUAUGUGACUAUUUGAAGGGUAGGUGUAAACUCCGGAUGGCUGGAGACUUGCAUCAUUUUAUGCGACACUCAUAUGUUCCAUCUGAUAAACCAGCUCAUGUGCAACAUUUACUUGUCAAUGGUUCUGGUGGAGCUUUUUUGCAUCCUACUCAUGUAUUCAGUAGUUUCAAUAAAUUAUAUGGAACUUCGUAUAAGUUUGAAGCAGCCUAUCCUUCUUGUGAAGAUUCAAGUAGGGUAUGUUACUAAAUUUUACUGCCGGAUACUUUCUUAAUUUCUAUUUCUAAUGUAAUCAAGUGAUGUUUAAGGGGCUUAUAUAUUAUUUGUUGCAGAUUGCACUGGGAAACAUAUUGAAAUUCCGAAAGAAAAAUUGGCAGUUUGAUUUCAUUGGUGGUAUCAUAUACUUUGUCUUAGCGUUUUCUAUGUUCCCACAGGCGAGUUACUUAACUUUGUUACAACAAAUAUUUUGAUCUUGCUUCAGACAAUUAGGAUGUUCUUUAUGCUUGCAAACUUUACAUGAAAUUUCACAUCGUUUAUUUCCUCGAAAUAAAGGACACCAUUUUCAAAGUUAUAGUCUUUUCAAGAUUAGCUUUUUCGUUUUCUCUUUUUUUUCCCUGAUGACAUUCUAUAUACUCCUUUUAGUGCAAGCUGGACCAUCUCUUCAAGGAUGAUACAUUUUCUGGUCAUCUCAAGAGCUUCUUUAGUACUGUGUGGGAUGCUUUUAUGUACAUGCUUGGACAGUCUUAUGUAUCUUUAGCUGGUACCUUGUUAUUGUUAGCAGCUGCUAUCGCAUUUGUACCUUCUAAAGUUUCUCGAAAAAGAAGGGCAAUAGUUGGAUUUCUUCAUGUUUCUGCACACUUGGCUGCAGCAAUAAUUCUCAUGAUGCUUUUAGAAGUUGGUGUUGAAACAUGUAUCAGGCAUAAACUAUUGGGAACAUCAGGUGCGCUUUAGUUUUAACUGAUUUCUUUUGAGUCAGAAAUCUUGUUUUCAUUAUCUACAACAUUAUUAUUUGAGCUUGUAUAUCUGCUGAAAUCAUGCUUCUUUACUGCAGCCAGGUUCUUGCUCUUCCAUGUCUUUUGUUGAAAUAUGGAUGUUAGCAUUGUGCAUUAAUAUUAUACAUAGUGAAGUCUUCUUCAUUCGUUUUUUUGUGCACAUGAAAUUAUAUUAUUAUUAAAGAUGAUAAUUUGAAUAAGGGAGGCCAUGACUAUGCCGCUAGGUUCAUAUUUUCUUUUCAUUCUUUUUGUUAUCUACUAUGGUUCUUAGUUUUGCCAUUCUUGGUUUUGUAUUACUUGUUUCACAGUCAUAUUCAUAAAAAUCCCAUGUUAGGAGGCCGUGGUUAUGUUUUUUUAUAAAUCGUCCUGAAUAUCUUUGUAAAGGGAAGUUAAUUGGUAAUUGGAUCUAGUUAUCUAGUCUCUGUGUUGGCAUAUACUUGUUUGAAUUUGUUCAAAACCAUGUCUAGUUUUUAUUUUGUUCGUAGACAUGUACUAAUAGUUAUGAUCUCAUUUCAGGUUAUCACACUUUAUAUGAAUGGUAUCGCACAGUUGAGAGUGAGCAUUUUCCAGACCCAACUGGCCUCCGUGCUCGUAUAGAACAGUGGACAUUUGGGCUGUAUCCAGCAUGUAUCAAGUAUCUUAUGUCUGCCUUUGAUGUUCCAGAGGUCCAAACUUCAUUUUAUAACUAUCUAUAUAAGGAUAUAUAUCCAGAAUUCUCAUUGUGUACUUGUUAUCUCUUGAAUCUACUAAAUUUGUGAGCACAAAUAGGUCAUGGCUGUCACAAGGAAUGAUAUGUGUAACAAUGGAUCCGAUUCAUUUUCCCGCGGUGGUGCUGUGAUAUAUUAUGCUUCCGUGUUCCUGUACUUUUGGUUCUUUACCACUCCUGUGGUUUCGUUGAUUUUUGGAAGCUAUUUGUACAUCUGUAUUAAUUGGUUGCAUCUGCACUUUGAUGAAGCCUUCUCUUCACUCCGUAUAGCCAAUUACAAAGCAUUUACACGCUUCCAUAUUAAGAAUAACGGCGAUCUUGAGGUUUUUACGCUUGCAGUUGACAAGGUAAAAAAAGCUCGCAUUAUAGUGCCUAUUUGUUUUUGAAGNAUGAAGCAUAAUGGGUCCUCUUUGAUUAUACAGAUUGGUUCGACGGACUUCAAACCUAUAUGAGGUACAUUUGUCAUAAAAGCUGGUUGGGCGGGUGGUUCAUGCCUCAGAAGAAGAGCUACUUUGCUAUGCAGCUACCGCAGAGAUGGUGGAUAUUUGGUCUUGAUUUAGCUCUGCACGGUGAUAUUGAUGUUUAUCAGUUCAAGUUCUUCUCUGAAUUGGUUAUGGACAAG